CAGUAGCCGCGGUAAUACGAAGGGGGCUAGCGUUGUUCGGAUUUACUGGGCGUAAAGGGCGCGUAGGCGGACUGAUGAGUCAGGGGUGAAAUCCCAAGGCUCAACCUUGGAACUGCCUUUGAUACUGUUUGUCUUGAGUUCGAGAGAGGUAAGUGGAACUGCGAGUGUAGAGGUGAAAUUCGUAGAUAUUCGCAAGAACACCAGUGGCGAAGGCGGCUUACUGGCUCGAAACUGACGCUGAGGCGCGAAAGCGUGGGGAGCAAACAGGAUUAGAACCCAGUAGUCCCUGUCUCUUAUACAC
This 301-nucleotide ribosomal RNA is filed under the name uncultured bacterium. Its description in RNAcentral is "partial 16S ribosomal RNA". It matches the Rfam family "Bacterial small subunit ribosomal RNA", at positions 509 to 809 of the family's 1533-position model. The record is from RNAcentral.